RNAcentral lists this transfer RNA (61 nucleotides) under Coleoptera sp. ACP-2013. RNAcentral describes it as "tRNA-Ser". Lineage: Eukaryota; Metazoa; Arthropoda; Insecta; Coleoptera. The record is from RNAcentral.
AGAAAUAUUUUAAAAUAAGCUUCUAACUUAUUAUUUAAGCAAUGUUUAUUGUUUAUAUUUC